This 285-nucleotide unclassified non-coding RNA is filed under the name plant metagenome. RNAcentral describes it as "partial contains small subunit ribosomal RNA, internal transcribed spacer 1, and 5.8S ribosomal RNA". The stretch from base 1 to 55 matches the Rfam family "Eukaryotic small subunit ribosomal RNA", at positions 1778 to 1831 of the family's 1831-position model. The record is from RNAcentral.
GGAAGUAAAAGUCGUAAACAAGGUUUCCGUAGGUGAACCUGCGGAAGGAUCAUUAUUGUAUAACCGAGGUGCGAGGGCUGUCGCUGACCCGAAAGGUCGUGCACGCCCGAGUGCCCUCACACACAUCCAUCUCACCCCUAUGUGCACCACCGCGUGGGUCCCCCUUUGGCUUGUUCGGAGGGGGCUUACGUUUUCACACAAACUUUGUAUGCAGUGUAGAAUGUAUUUUUUGUUUUUGCGAUCACGCAAUCAAUACAACUUUCAACAACGGAUCUCUUGGCUCUC